Molecule: ribosomal RNA, 511 nt
Filed under: uncultured bacterium
Lineage: Bacteria
Description: bacterial SSU rRNA
Rfam family: Bacterial small subunit ribosomal RNA
Source: RNAcentral
CUGGCUCAGGAUGAACGCUAGCUACAGGCUUAACACAUGCAAGUCGAGGGGCAGCAUGUGGUUGCUUGCAACCAAUGAUGGCGACCGGCGCACGGGUGAGUAACGCGUAUCCAACCUUCCCCUUAGUAGAGGAUAGCCCGGCGAAAGUCGGAUUAAUACUCUAUGUUCUUCAAUGCGGACAUCUAAGUUGAAGCAAAGAUUUAUCGCUAAGGGAUGGGGAUGCGUCUGAUUAGGUUGCAGGCGGGGUAACGGCCCACCUGGCCUACGAUCAGUAGGGGUUCUGAGAGGAAGGUCCCCCACACUGGUACUGAGACACGGACCAGACUCCUACGGGAGGCAGCAGUGAGGAAUAUUGGUCAAUGGGCGCGAGCCUGAACCAGCCAAGUAGCGUGCAGGAACCGACUGCCCUAUGGGUUGUAAACUGCUUUUAUCAGGGAAUAAAGUGAGGCACGCGUGCCUUUUUGUAUGUACCUGAUGAAUAAGGACCGGCUAAUUCCGUGCCAGCCGCUGC